AGAGUUUGAUCCUGGCUCAGGAUGAACGCUGGCGGCGUGCUUAACACAUGCAAGUCGAACGGGCCGCAAUCUUGCUUGCAGGGUUGUUGGUUAGUGGCGAACGGGUGAGUAACACGUGAGUAACCUGCCCCCUUCUUUGGGAUAACAUUUCGAAAGGGAUGCUAAUACUGGAUAUUCUGCUUGGGCCGCAUGGUUCUUGUGGGAAAGUUUUUUCGGUGGGGGAUGGGCUCGCGGCUUAUCAGCUUGUUGGUGUGGUGAUGGCUUACCAAGGCUUUGACGGGUAGCCGGCCUGAGAGGGUGGUCGGUCACACUGGGACUGAGAUACGGCCCAGACUCCUACGGGAGGCAGCAGUGGGGAAUAUUGCACAAUGGGCGAAAGCCUGAUGCAGCGACGCCGCGUGGGGGAUGACGGCCUUCGGGUUGUAAACUCCUUUCGCUUAUCAGCAAGCCGCCAUUUUGUUGGUGGUGAGUGUAGUAGGUAAAGAAGCGCCGGCUAACUACGUGCCAGCAGCCGCGGUAAUACGUAGGGCGCGAGCGUUAUCCGGAAUUAUUGGGCGUAAAGAGCUCGUAGGUGGUUGGUCGCGUCUGUCGUGAAAGCUCAUGGCUUAACUGUGGGUUUGCGGUGGGUACGGGCUGACUUGAGUGCAGUAGGGGAGAUUGGAAUUCCUGGUGUAGCGGUGAAAUGCGCAGAUAUCAGGAGGAAUACCGGUGGCGAAGGCUGGUCUCUGGGCUGUUACUGACACUGAGGAGCGAAAGCGUGGGGAGCGAACAGGAUUAGAUACCCUGGUAGUCCAUGCUGUAAACGUUGGGAACUAGGUGUGGGGGGCUUCCUUGUCUUCUGUGCCGUAGCUAACGCAUUAAGUUCCCCGCCUGGGGAGUACGGCCGCAAGGCUAAAACUCAAAGGAAUUGACUG
Molecule: ribosomal RNA, 914 nt
Filed under: uncultured bacterium
Lineage: Bacteria
Description: bacterial SSU rRNA
Rfam family: Bacterial small subunit ribosomal RNA
Source: RNAcentral